This 1310-nucleotide ribosomal RNA is filed under the name metagenome. RNAcentral's name for it is "bacterial SSU rRNA". It matches the Rfam family "Bacterial small subunit ribosomal RNA", at positions 162 to 1497 of the family's 1533-position model. The record is from RNAcentral.
GCUAAUACCGCAUAAGCCCACGGUGCCGCGGGCACAGAGGGAAAAGGAGCAAUCCGCUUUGAGAUGGCCUCGCGUCCGAUUAGCUAGUUGGUGAGGUAACGGCCCACCAAGGCGACGAUCGGUAGCCGGACUGAGAGGUUGAACGGCCACAUUGGGACUGAGACACGGCCCAGACUCCUACGGGAGGCAGCAGUGGGGAAUAUUGCACAAUGGGGGGAACCCUGAUGCAGCGACGCCGCGUGGAGGAAGAAGGUCUUCGGAUUGUAAACUCCUGUUGUUGGGGAAGAUAAUAACGGUACCCAACAAGGAAGUGACGGCUAACUACGUGCCAGCAGCCGCGGUAAAACGUAGGUCACAAGCGUUGUCCGGAAUUACUGGGUGUAGGGGGAGCGCAGGCGGGAAGACAAGUUGGAAGUGAAAUCUAUGGGCUCAACCCAUAAACUGCUUUCAAAACUGUUUUUCUUGAGUAGUGCAGAGGUAGGCGGAAUUCCCGGUGUAGCGGUGGAAUGCGUAGAUAUCGGGAGGAACACCAGUGGCGAAGGCGGCCUACUGGGCACCAACUGACGCUGAGGCUCGAAAGUGUGGGUAGCAAACAGGAUUAGAUACCCUGGUAGUCCACACCGUAAACGAUGAUUACUAGGUGUUGGAGGAUCGACCCCUUCAGUGCCGCAGUUAACACAAUAAGUAAUCCACCUGGGGAGUACGACCGCAAGGUUGAAACUCAAAGGAAUUGACGGGGGCCCGCACAAGCAGUGGAGUAUGUGGUUUAAUUCGACGCAACGCGAAGAACCUUACCAAGUCUUGACAUCCCUUGACAGGCAUAGAAAUAUGUUUUCUCUUCGGAGCAAGGAGACAGGUGGUGCAUGGUUGUCGUCAGCUCGUGUCGUGAGAUGUUGGGUUAAGUCCCGCAACGAGCGCAACCCUUAUGGUCAGUUACUACGCAAGAGGACUCUGGCCAGACUGCCGUUGACAAAACGGAGGAAGGUGGGGAUGACGUCAAAUCAUCAUGCCCUUUAUGACUUGGGCUACACACGUACUACAAUGGCGUUAAACAAAGAGAAGCGAGACCGCGAGGUGGAGCAAAACUCAGAAACAACGUCCCAGUUCGGACUGCAGGCUGCAACUCGCCUGCACGAAGUCGGAAUUGCUAGUAAUCGUGGAUCAGCAUGCCACGGUGAAUACGUUCCCGGGCCUUGUACACACCGCCCGUCACACCAUGAGAGCCGGGGGGACCCGAAGUCGGUAGUCUAACCGCAAGGAGGACGCCGCCGAAGGUAAAACUGGUGAUUGGGGUGAAGUCGGAACAAGGU